RNAcentral lists this ribosomal RNA (393 nucleotides) under uncultured bacterium. Its description in RNAcentral is "partial 16S ribosomal RNA". It matches the Rfam family "Bacterial small subunit ribosomal RNA", at positions 523 to 918 of the family's 1533-position model. The record is from RNAcentral.
AUACGGAGGAUGCAAGCGUUAUCCGGAUUUAUUGGGUUUAAAGGGUGCGUAGGCGGAUGAUUAAGCGUGAGGUGAAAUGCCACUGCUCAACAGUGGAACUGCCUCGCGAACUGGUUGUCUUGAAUGCUCCUGCCGUGGGAGGAAUGUGUGGUGUAGCGGUGAAAUGCUUAGAGAUUACACAGAACACCGAUUGCGAAGGCAUCUCACGAAGGGUUGAUUGACGCUGAGGCACGAAAGCGUGGGGAUCAAACAGGAUUAGAUACCCUGGUAGUCCACGCAGUAAACGAUGAUGGCUAACCGCUGGGCUUAUCAGUUCAGUGGCCAAGCGAAAGCGAUAAGCCAUCCACCUGGGGAGUACGACCGCAAGGUUGAAACUCAAAGGAAUUGACGGGG